UGGUGGCCAGUCCGAUCCUGAGCUACAGCUGUUCUCUCAGAAUGCCUCUUCUAUGAGAUGUCAGCUUUGCCUAGACACCAUAUGGGAGGGGCAGUGAUGCCGUGGAUGGUGACGGGAAGAGGAAAGUCUCUGCUCCUCAGGCUUCUUCAGCAAUUCCUGGACCCAAGGCAAUGUGAAGCAGGGACUCUGUCUCUUGCCACCAGCUAGCUUCCUAGGGCAGACCUCCGGCUUCUGGAACUUCAAGGAUUUGACUUGACUACAGGAACCCAAGUCCUAGCAAAGGCGAAGUUGCCGUUACUGUCUUACACACUGCUCUGGACAUUCUCUUCCUAACGCCAGUCUUGCUACUUACCCCCAGCUGUCUGCAGGGCAAGAGGACACAAGCUCCCCCUCUGGCUGGCACCAGGCUUUUCCUUCUCCCAUGAAGACUUCUAGGGAAAUUUCAAUUUCUUGGGCCCAUUUUUCAAUAGUCACAUGGAGUGUACGAGUUCUCUCUUGAACGCCUUCAAUCCUGCCAGGACAGUUACAUCCAGACCUGUCAUUUUCACAGUUCUGUGGGCCCUGAGUCAAGAGGAUAAAGGUACCAAGAUAAGAGACAUCUGAUGCUGGCUUUCAGGGCUGCUCUAGCCUUCCCUAAUGGAGUAGAGAGUCUAUAACCAUCAUCUUAAACCAACAGUCACCUGGAUUUUAGGAAUAGCAGCUUUCCAAACAUUACCCCAUCAUGUGAUCACCUUCCAAGCAAGAGUAAUGCUCCCAUGGGAACCAGCUUGUCCCCUCACUCAACAAGGACUCUGUAGACCAACACAGAAGAAAUGACAGACAGACCACACUGUGGCCGGGACUGCUUGGUCAUGCUUGCCUCUAACCCCCAAUUCUUCUGUAUUUCGGGGUGAAGCUCAUCUCAUCACUCAAACAUGGGCUGACACUCAACUGUUGUCUUUCUGUUGUAGUUGUAUUGAGUCAAAGCCUCUCCCGGCUUUCAUCACUGACUUUUGCUUCCUCACUUUGGGGUGGGUGUUUGGA
Molecule: non-coding RNA, 1023 nt
Organism: Peromyscus maniculatus bairdii (prairie deer mouse)
Lineage: Eukaryota; Metazoa; Chordata; Mammalia; Rodentia; Cricetidae
Source: RefSeq, a predicted model, not a curated record